RNAcentral lists this ribosomal RNA (411 nucleotides) under uncultured bacterium. RNAcentral's name for it is "bacterial SSU rRNA". It matches the Rfam family "Bacterial small subunit ribosomal RNA", at positions 355 to 776 of the family's 1533-position model. The record is from RNAcentral.
UAGGGAAUCUUGCGCAAUGGGCGAAAGCCUGACGCAGCGACGCCGCGUGAGGGAUGAAGGCCUUCGGGUUGUAAACCUCUUUCAGCAGGGACGAAGCCGCAAGGUGACGGUACCUGCAGAAGAAGCCCCGGCCAACUACGUGCCAGCAGCCGCGGUAAUACGUAGGGGGCGAGCGUUGUCCGGAUUUAUUGGGCGUAAAGAGCGCGUAGGCGGCCCUUCACGUCGGAUGUGAAAGCUCGAGGCUCAACCUUGAGAGGCCAUUCGAUACGGAAAGGCUUGAGGCAGCUAGGGGAGAUUGGAAUUCCUGGUGUAGCGGUGAAAUGCGCAGAUAUCAGGAGGAACACCGGUGGCGAAGGCGGAUCUCUGGGGCUGUUCUGACGCUGAGGCGCGAAAGCUGGGGGAGCGAACAGG